UAAACGGCCCUUUUCAGGGCCACUAAUUCUAUCACGAAAGAGUUGU
Regulatory RNA element from Culex pipiens (northern house mosquito), 46 nucleotides. It matches the Rfam family "Histone 3' UTR stem-loop". Rfam says of the family: The mRNAs of metazoan histone genes lack a poly-A tail. Lineage: Eukaryota; Metazoa; Arthropoda; Insecta; Diptera; Culicidae. The record is from Rfam.